This 699-nucleotide ribosomal RNA is filed under the name uncultured bacterium. RNAcentral describes it as "bacterial SSU rRNA". It matches the Rfam family "Bacterial small subunit ribosomal RNA", at positions 8 to 698 of the family's 1533-position model. The record is from RNAcentral.
AGAGUUUGAUCCUGGCUCAGAUUGAACGCUAGCGGCAUGCUUAACACAUGCAAGUCGAACGGCAGCGCGAGGAGCUUGCUCCUUGGCGGCGAGUGGCGGACGGGUGAGUAACGCGUAGGAAUUUACCUUGUAGUGGGGGACAACCCGGGGAAACUCGGGCUAAUACCGCAUAAUCUCUAUGGAGCAAAGUGGGGGACCUUCGGGCCCCACGCUAUAAGAUGAGCCUGCGUCGGAUUAGCUUGUUGGUGGGGUAAAGGCCUACCAAGGCAACGAUCCGUAGCUGGUCUGAGAGGACGACCAGCCACACUGGGACUGAGACACGGCCCAGACUCCUACGGGAGGCAGCAGUGGGGAAUAUUGGACAAUGGGGGCAACCCUGAUCCAGCAAUGCCGCGUGUGUGAAGAAGGCCUUCGGGUUGUAAAGCACUUUCAGUGGGGAAGAAAUGCUUAAGGUUAAUACCCUUAAGAGUUGACGUUACCCACAGAAGAAGCACUGGCUAACUCUGUGCCAGCAGCCGCGGUAAUACAGAGAGUGCAAGCGUUAAUCGGAAUUACUGGGCGUAAAGCGCGCGUAGGUGGAUACUUUACUCGGAUGUGAAAGCCCUGGGCUUAACCUAGGAACUGCAUCCGAAACUGAGUAUCUAAAGUAUGGUAGAGGGAAGUGGAAUUUCCAGUGUACCGGUGAAAUGCGUAGAUAUC